CCUACGGGAGGCAGCAGUGGGGAAUAUUGGACAAUGGGCCACAAGCCUGAUCCAGCAAUUCUGUGUGCACGAUGAAGGUCUUCGGAUUGUAAAGUGCUUUCAGUUGGGAAGAAGAAAGUGACGGUACCAACAGAAGAAGCGACGGCUAAAUACGUGCCAGCAGCCGCGGUAAU
This 173-nucleotide ribosomal RNA is filed under the name uncultured bacterium. RNAcentral describes it as "partial 16S ribosomal RNA". It matches the Rfam family "Bacterial small subunit ribosomal RNA", at positions 338 to 524 of the family's 1533-position model. The record is from RNAcentral. RNAcentral also lists the same sequence under 1 other name.